This 520-nucleotide ribosomal RNA is filed under the name uncultured Glomus. RNAcentral describes it as "SSU rRNA". It matches the Rfam family "Eukaryotic small subunit ribosomal RNA", at positions 569 to 1086 of the family's 1831-position model. Lineage: Eukaryota; Fungi; Glomeromycota; Glomeromycetes; Glomerales; Glomeraceae. The record is from RNAcentral.
AGCAGCCGCGGUAAUUCCAGCUCCAAUAGCGUAUAUUAAAGUUGUUGCAGUUAAAAAGCUCGUAGUUGAAUUUCGGGGUCAGUAGGUCGGUCGUGCCACUGGUAUGAACUGGUUUUACUGAUUCCUCCCUCUUGAAGAACUGUAAUGCCAUUAAUUUGGUGUUGCAGGGAAUCAGGACUGUUACUUUGAAAAAAUUAGAGUGUUUAAAGCAGGCUUUAGCUUGAAUACAUUAGCAUGGAAUAAUGAAAUAGGACGUUUGAUCCUAUUUUGUUGGUUUCUAGGAUUGACGUAAUGAUUAAUAGGGAUAGUUGGGGGGCAUUAGUAUUCAAUUGUCAGAGGUGAAAUUCUUGGAUUUAUUGAAGACUAACUACUGCGAAAGCAUUUUGCCAAGGAUGUUUUUCAUUAAUCAAGAACGAAAGUUAGGGGACCGAAGACGAUCAGAUACCGUCGUAGUCUUAACCAUAAACUAUGCCGACUAGGGAUCGGAUGAUGUUAAUUUUUUUAAUGACUCAUUCGGCGC